RNAcentral lists this ribosomal RNA (492 nucleotides) under uncultured bacterium. Its description in RNAcentral is "partial 16S ribosomal RNA". It matches the Rfam family "Bacterial small subunit ribosomal RNA", at positions 29 to 507 of the family's 1533-position model. The record is from RNAcentral.
AGUGAACGCUGGCGGUAGGCCUAACACAUGCAAGUCGAACGGCAGCACAGUAAGAGCUUGCUCUUACGGGUGGCGAGUGGCGGACGGGUGAGGAAUACAUCGGAAUCUACUUUUUCGUGGGGGAUAACGUAGGGAAACUUACGCUAAUACCGCAUACGACCUACGGGUGAAAGCAGGGGAUCUUCGGACCUUGCGCGAUUGAAUGAGCCGAUGUCGGAUUAGCUAGUUGGCGGGGUAAAGGCCCACCAAGGCGACGAUCCGUAGCUGGUCUGAGAGGAUGAUCAGCCACACUGGAACUGAGACACGGUCCAGACUCCUACGGGAGGCAGCAGUGGGGAAUAUUGGACAAUGGGCGCAAGCCUGAUCCGGCCAUACCGCGUGGGUGAAGAAGGCCUUCGGGUUGUAAAGCCCUUCUGUUGGGAAAGAAAAGCAGCAGGUUAAUACCCCGCUGUUCUGACGGUACCCAAAGAAUAAGCACCGGCUAACUUCGUG